GCGGUCACUUUGGCAGCACAUAUACUAAAAUUGGAAAGAUACAGAGAUUAGCAUGUCCAUUGUGCAAGGAUGACAUGCAAAUUUGUGAAGCAUUCCAUAUUUUC
This is a small nuclear RNA of Gorilla gorilla gorilla (western lowland gorilla), 104 nucleotides long. NCBI's taxonomy places the organism in Eukaryota, Metazoa, Chordata, Mammalia, Primates, Hominidae. The record is from Ensembl.